CCAGACUCCUACGGGAGGCAGCAGUAGGGAAUCUUCGGCAAUGGGGGCAACCCUGACCGAGCAACGCCGCGUGAGUGAAGAAGGUUUUCGGAUCGUAAAGCUCUGUUGUAAGAGAAGAACGAGUGUGAGAGUGGAAAGUUCACACUGUGACGGUAACUUACCAGAAAGGGACGGCUAACUACGUGCCAGCAGCCGCGGUAAUACGUAGGUCCCGAGCGUUAUCCGGAUUUAUUGGGCGUAAAGCGAGCGCAGGCGGUUAGAUAAGUCUGAAGUUAAAGGCUGUGGCUUAACCAUAGUACGCUUUGGAAACUGUUUAACUUGAGUGCAGAAGGGGAGAGUGGAAUUCCAUGUGUAGCGGUGAAAUGCGUAGAUAUAUGGAGGAACACCGGUGGCGAAAGCGGCUCUCUGGUCUGUAACUGACGCUGAGGCUCGAAAGCGUGGGGAGCAAACAGGAUUAGAUACCCUGGUAGUCCACGCCGUAAACGAUGAGUGCUAGGUGUUGGGUCCUUUCCGGGACUCAGUGCCGCAGCUAACGCAUUAAGCACUCCGCCUGGGGAGUACGACCGCAAGGUUGAAACUCAAAGGAAUUGACGGGGGCCCCGCACAAGAAU
This 611-nucleotide ribosomal RNA is filed under the name uncultured bacterium. RNAcentral describes it as "bacterial SSU rRNA". It matches the Rfam family "Bacterial small subunit ribosomal RNA", at positions 331 to 932 of the family's 1533-position model. The record is from RNAcentral.